This 8221-nucleotide long non-coding RNA is filed under the name Homo sapiens (human). RNAcentral's name for it is "HSALNT0404489". Lineage: Eukaryota; Metazoa; Chordata; Mammalia; Primates; Hominidae. The record is from RNAcentral.
CAAAGACGGGGUUUGUUAGUAGAGAUGGGGUUUCUCCAUGUUGGUCAGGCUUAUCUCGAACUCCCGACCUCAGGUGAUCCGCCCACCUUUGCCUCCCAAAGUGCUGGGAUUACAUGUGUGAGCCACCAUGCCUGGGCCUAAAACGUUUCUUAAUACCAAAUAUUCAGUGUUUAAGUUUCCAGUGUGUCUUAAAUGUCCAUUUUUAAAACUGUUUGAAUUAGUAUCCAAAUACAGUUUUUAGAUAAAUCCUUUAAGUCUCUUAAAAUCUUCAUGUUCCCUCUGUCUCUUUUUUUUUCUUUAUAACUUGAUGAACCUGGCUCAUUUGUCUUGAAAAGGUCCCACUGCCUAGACUUUGGUAGUUGGAGCUGGAGGCUGGGUCAGCUUCAGGCUGGAUUUUUUGUCGGCAGGACUUUAUCAUGGGUGUUGCUGUUCUUCCAGCAGGUGCGUGAUGUCCGAUUACCUCUCCUUUUGGAAAUUGGCAGCCAUUUAUUUUCACAUCACUAAUUCCCUAAAGGUUGCAAAAUGGUGAUAUUCUCAUUUCCCUAUGUCUUUUUUUUUUUUUUUUUUUUUUUUUGAGACAGAGUCUUGCUCUGUCGCCCAUGCUGGAGUGCAGUGGCUCCAUCUUGGCUCACUGCAAGUUCCACCUCCCGGGUUCACGCCAUUCCCCUGCCUCAGCCUCCCGAGUAGCUGGGACUACAGGUGCCCGCCACCACGCCGGGCUAAUUUUUUGUAUUUUUAGUAGAGAUGGGGUUUCACCGUGUUAGCCAGGAUGGUCUCGAUCUCCUGACCUCGUCGUGAUCCUCCCGCCUCAGCCUCCCAAAGUGCUGGGAUUACAGAUGUGAGCCACCGCGCCCGGCCUAUGUAACCAUUUUCAAAGUGAGUUGGUUCACUGGCAUCUUUCAGAGGUGAUCGGUUGGCGUGUUUUUGUUGUUCGUUUAGUAUGGCUGUGAACUUAAUCAUUAUGAACAUACUUGAUGUGUUACAGUCCAUUGCAUUGUUGCCUCGUUGGUGAGCAGGUUGUUCUCCCUUUGGCCAGGGAGAGUCUCUUUCAUGUUGGGGUCUAAGAUAGAGGCAUCUUUGUCAGAUUCUUUCCUAUCUAGCCUGACAAGAUGUUCCGGGCUCAUUUUGAACAUUUAAUGCCCUGAUCUGCACUUAGCAAUUGCCAAGGAGCCCUGAUUCCUUUUAGUGAAAAAUAGUAUUUCAAGACCAUAGUCUGCAAGCUUGGGCUCCUAGUUGCUGUGAGGCCUUUUCAAUAGGCAGAGCUAGGAAUAGCUAGGCAUUUUUGUUUGUUUGUUUUUUGUUUUUGUUUUGUUUUGUUUUGAGACAGGCUCUUACUCUGUUGCCCAUGCUGUAGUGCAAUGGCACGAUCUCAGCCCACUGCAACCUCUGCCUCUCAGGUUCAAGAGAUUCUUGUGCCUCAGCCUCCCGAGUAGUGAGUAGCUGGGAUUACAGGUGCAUGCCAUCACAUCUGGCUAAUUUUUAUAUUUUUAGUAGAGACAGGGUUUCACCGUGUUGGCCAAGCUGGUCUCAAAUUCCCGACCUCAGGUGAUCCACCCACCUUGGCCUCCCAAAGCAUUGGGAUUACAGGCGUGAGCCACCGCACCAGCCUAGGAAUUGUUCUUUGUUUUUUGUAUUUUUAAGAUAAAAUACAUCAUAAGUUCACUCUUUUUGAUGAAAACUCAGGGCUGCAGGGUUUUAAUUAACAGCUCCAUCCUCUGUGUUUUCUCUUUUCCACACUGAAAAUCCUAAUUCUCAUGGGUACUUGAGGAGGCUAGAGUUAGAGGUUCCCCAGCUCAUGCUGCUUCAGUCACCUGGAGGGCUUGUGGACACACAGAUGGCUGGGUCCAUUCCCCAUUUCUGAUUGAACAGGUCUGGGUGGGGCCUGAGAAUGAGCAUUUCUAACAAAUGCCCAGGUGGUGCUGAUGCUGAAGGGCCAGGGGCCACUGAAUAGAACAUCACACGAUUGCUCACUUGCUUUCAGUUGCUUUAUCCCUCAUUACAUAGACUCUGAAUAACACUAUUAACUCCACCAUCAACAACAGGACUAGUGAACACAGGUCUAGAACUGUUUUUGACAGUUCUUAUUGGCAUUUGGAUGUAUCCCAUAAGGAAUGAACAGUCAAAUUACUGUAGUUUUAAAGUUACUUGUCAUAGCUCCUCUCUCUGAGAUUAUACCACUAAAUGUAUAUGUAUACAUUUAAGUUCACUUGUUUUAUUUUUCCUGAUUAUUUUUAGGGAAAACCUUGAAAAAAUCUAAUUGCUUUAUAACUAUAUAAAAUAUUUACUUCCAAAAUUAAAUCUACAAAAUGAGGUCUAUUUAAAGAAGCCUUGUGUAUGUUCUGUCCUCUCCAUGCUAACUCCUCCCUUCCUGAGUACUCCAUCACAGUUUUUAUGGUUUUCCUUCCACGUGAAAAACAUCCAAACAUAUUUGUAUUUCCCUUUCUUAGCUUAGACAUUGCCAGCUGCACACACUGUCCCACCUCACUUUCCCCCGGACUCCACUCCACGCUAGGAGUAUGUUGAGAUCAUUCUCAUUCCAUGAUGUCGAUAUUCCGUGGUUUAUUCUGCCAGUCCCCUCCUGGUGGAAUUUGAGUUGUUUUGUGUUUUACUGUUUCCAGUAGUUGUGCACAGAUAGCCUGUCUGUGGCCUUUCCGACGGGCCUGUUGGGAUGGAGCCCUGCAGGGCGGGUUGCUGGGCUGAGGCAAAUGGUUAUGUCACUGUGCUGAUGCUGCCUCAGCUCCCUCCUGAGUGCUUGCACCAUUGGGAAACUGCCUGUAGGCCUCGCUGAGAAGCCAGCCCUUGAACAAAGCCAGUGGCAAAGGGGAAGUCUGGGGAAAGACCAGUUUGGGAACCCUUCUGUCUAAAGCCUUAAGGCAUUGGGGUGCCAGGAACAGGAGUGUCUCUUUUUAACUUGUAAAUACAGUACUGUGGUUCAAACUGCUACAGUAAUGCUGUGUUUAUUUAAAAAAUGUAUACACUGUUAAAGGCUGAUUCCUCAGUAUUCUUAUAUUCAGAUGCAUUUAUCCAGUCUUUUUGUUUUUAAACUCUUGAAUUUUAAGUUUGCUCUCUGAGGGCUAGAGAAGGCAACUUGUUUCCUUGAUUAGAAGAGUUCAUUCAACUUCUUAACAUUCUUGGCCUGUGUGUUCUUGUCUUUUAAGUUAAAACAGAAAAAGACUGGGACUUUCUGUCUUUUGACUAGUCUUUACGUGUAGUAGUUCCUUUUCUGCAAAUUUCCACAGUAGGAAACUUGAUGAACACUAAUGUAUGGGUUUUCUUUUGACCCCACCUACAGUGGGUAGUAUUGUCAUAUGACUGGGUGCUGGGAGAGAGCAGCAGAGGGCAGGGGUGUGUGUGUGUGUGUGUGUGUGUGUGUGUGUGUGUGUGUGUGUGUGUGUGUGUGUGUGUCAGAGGGAAGGUAGAGACCACAGGAAGGACCUGGAGGAGAGCCAGGCUGAAUGGGUAUAACGUUAAGCCGGCGAUGACAUGGCAGGGGGUGUACUGAGUACUUCUUUAGACUUGGCCUUUAAACUUGGUGGUGCAGAACUGUGGGAGGGUUCAUUUGCUUUACUUCUCAAAUAUGUGCCUUCUAAUGAAGGGAGGACAGUGUCUAUGCUAGAAAUGUGGAGUUAGUUGCCUAGUCAUCUUAGGGGGUGACUAAACCUUGCUUUCUACCUAGAGAAUCUGGAUAACAUCUGGAUCCUUUUUUGUGCUUUCUCGUUGACCUUCACUCCCUGCCCCCACCCCCGACUGCGAAGGCUUUUCACGGACAGAUACUCUGGCAGGAGCACCGGGGAGGCUUCCAUACCCAUGAUUAUGCAUUUGAUGUUAGUUUUCACCAUGAAAGAGCUCCCAAUCUGAAGCAUUAAUUUUCAUUACUGCCUCGACAUUAUACACGAAUUAUAGCAAAUACUUUAUGCAUUAUUGAACAGGCUGAGAUGACUUCCCAGUUUGUAAUCUCGGAUGUUUUUAUCGUCCAUUUGAAAGCCCGUUUUACCAAAAGCCAUUGAAGAGAAAUGAAUGUAUGGCCUAUGGGCAAGCACUUGCAUUCCUAGGCUUGAAGACGGUGCCCUCUCUAAUCCCGUGUUUUCAAACAUGAACUGCCUCAUAGUGGAUUGCAGCUUUCUUUUGUUAAUAGGCUUAAAGAAUUAUUAUUUCUGCAAAAUUUUCUGUAAAGCAAAUCUUAGAUAAAUUAUACAUUUCCUUUGACUUUUUUGUUCAAAAAUAGAAUCAUGGAACCUUGCUUGGAGGGCCUUAAAAUUAGUUCAUCUCUUGUCUAGUCCAGUCACUCCGCUGCUUUUAGUCGCAACUGGGAGAUGACCCAGCCCAUGGUUGAGGCCCCCAGCUGUGGGACACUUUCUGUCAUUCUUCACCCCCCUCCACCCUCAGGGUCUUCUCUCGUAGGCCACAGCAUUUCUUGGGUUGAGCUAAAUCCAUUUCUCUGUCUUUCUCACCCAUUAGUGCUCUGGGGCCUACUAAGCCCUACAGAAUAAAGCCAGCCUUUGAAAAUAAGACAGCCCAUUAGGUGGCCGAGGACAGUGUCUUGUUAACAGGUUGAAACACUCCACAUGUCUCCAACAAUUUAAGAUAAAGUGAGAUGUAUUUUAUUAGAAAACUUACUGUUCCUUUUACCAAGAUUAUGCUAAAGAAUUUGAAGAAAAAUUGUCCUGUAUCAGAGUAUCAGCAAAUAUUCAGACUCCUUAUGUCAAGGUUUUUUUUUCCAACAUAAAUCUCCAAAUAGAAGUAUUGACCUUGAAAAUAUAUCAUGUCAGGUAUUUAGGAAAGCGACAAACUGACUGAACAUUCUGUUUUGCUUAGCCACUCUCUCAGGGUUAUAAUUUUGUGAUCCUUUUAUACUUUUGUAUGAGUAAGACCAUCACGGCUUUGCACGUUCAAGAAUUGGUUCAGUAAAAAACAGAUGACAGAAAUGUUCACUCUGUCUGCGGAAGGCCUUUUGGAACCCAUAUUUUCAGCCAACCAUUGUUAAAACAACUGCUGCAGAGUAAGUAGUAAACUUGUUAGAAUUAAGAAGUUGGGAAGGAGCACUGGGCAGUAUUGAGUCCUAAGCCAAGCUACCUGGGUUCGAAUCCCAGCCUUGGCGCUCAUUUGCUUGAUGUUGGGCCAAUUAGGGGAGUUCUUGAUGUCUUGGUUUCCAUAUGAGGGUUCAGGGUGAGUAUGCGUGAAGUGCCGGGGGCAUAGCAGGCGCACGGUGCUGUCUGGAGGGACGGUAAACAGGUGGCCCUUCUCUUGACUGUGUUACCUAGCAGCUGUUCCAUGACCCUAAUGUGAUGGUUUUGGGAGGUGGGGCCUUUGGGAGGUGAUUAGGUCAUGUGGCUGGAGUCCCCACAAAAGGGAUUAGUGCCCUUAUAAAAAAGGGCCCCAGAGAUCUCCCUUGCCCCUUCCCCCACGUGAGGGCACAGCAAGACCAAGGUACUCAACCUGCUGAAGCCUUGACUCAGACUUACACCCUCCAGAAAUGAUAAAUAAAUUUCUGCUGUUUAUAAGCCAUCCUAUGCCUGCUGUUCAGCCAGGGUGAUGCUGUGCUCCCACAGACUUUAGGGAUCCAUGGCACCCCAGCUUCCUGACCUGCCGCACCCUCUUAUCUCCCUGUCUCCCCAGUGGGCAUGAGAGCCAAUGGUGGGUGUGGAGACGCACAGGGAUGGGGGUGUAUGUAGUGAAGUUGUGUUUUGAAUUGCUCUUAUAAAUUAUUUUGAUAGAUCUCCUCUGUCACCAAAAAAAGGAGACCUUAGUUAUUGGAAUAAAAGGCCUGAGUUGUCUCUUAAUAAAUAGCCUCCUGAGGCAGAACAGUGAACUGGGUGACUUUGUGAACAGGGUUUCUGAGUGUGGGCACAUCAGUCUCAAGCCCCGUUUUGGCUCUUAGGAACCACCCUAUUAACAAGCGAGUUCCUGCUGGGUUUCGCUCAUGCCUCUGUUGCCCGUGGGAUUAAAAUGAAAAUUUAGCCUGGAACGUGCUCUGCCUCGCAGUUCAGCCCGCAGAGCUCUAGUGACUUUUCUGCUUAAUGGUUGGGUUAGUUCAGGAAACUACAAAGUCUGUGUUGUUAAUUUAAUUACCUACCGCGUGAGCCAAGAUUGAAUUCUUUUGGGCUCUUAAACUUAAGCUGUUCACCAUCUUUUUUUUUGUUGUUUGUUUGUUUUUUUGAGACGGAGUCUCGCUCUGUCGCCCGGGCUGGAGUGCAGUGGCGUGAUCUCGGCUCACUGCAAGCUCCGCCUCCCGGGUUCACACCAUUCUCCUGCCUCAGCCUCCCAAGUAGCUGGGACUACAGGCGCCUGCCACCACACCCAGCUAAUUUUUUGUAUUUUUAGUAGAGACGGGGUUUCACCGUGUUGUCCAGGAUGAUCUCUAUCACUUGACCUUGUGAUCCACCCACCUCGGCCUCCCAAUCUGCUGGGAUUACAGGCGUGAGCCACUGCGCCCAGCUGCUCUUCACCAUCUUUCAUGUGCUGGUUCUCCAUACCCCAUUUUCAAAGGCAUCUCUAAUUUCAUAAGACUUGAUGUGAAGAUUUAAGAGUUUAUUAAAAUAAUGGUUGUAUAUGCUGAGAAAAUGGUGGUGAUUUUUCUUCACAUUGUUAAUGCAGCGCCUCAGUGGGUUAGAAUUGGGCCUUCAAAUCUACGCUGGGGCACUGUCUUGGUGUGCUAGGGCUGCCGCCACAGAGUCACACAGUCUGGGUGGCUUAGCACAAAUGCGCUGUGUCACAGCUCUGGAGACCAGGUCCAGGCAGCCACAGCAUGGGCCUUUGUGUCCUCAUGGGGCCUUCCUGCGUUCCUUCUGUCUGUGUGACCAAAUCUUCUCUUUACACAAGUCAGUUGGAUUAGGGCCCAUCCUGAAGACCUCAUUUUAACUAAGCUACCUUAUCAACUUUGAAGACCUUAUCUGCAUAUGGUUAUAUUCUGAGGUACUGGAUUUUAGGGCUUCAACAGGUAGGUUUUUGUGGGACACAGUUCAGCCCAUAACAGGUACUGAGGUCAGAUGGUCCCAGGUCAAAUUCCUACUUAGGUCAGAUGACACUUUUGCCACUGUUGGAUGUGCUGAUUGACUGGUCAUCUUCUAGGUGAACACAGGUUAGAGAGUUAGUCCAUGAUGGAAUGCGAGAGACAUUGCUACUUGGUAGUCUCCAUUUAGACGAGUCUUACUGUACGGCAGGGUUCCCAGGGAGAAGAGCUUGGAGCAGGUGUUGGAGGCAGUUCCACUUUUACUCUGUACGGAUGUUAUUUGUAUACGUAUGUGAAGUAACUGUAUUGCAAAGAUAGAAUGUGAGAGAGAGAGCGAGAGAGUGUGUGUGUGUGUGUGUUUGUAGUUUUAUAUAGAAAACCAAGUGGAAGAGGAGAAAGCGAUUCCAUUUAGUUGGCUUACUUUCCACUUAGCAAAGAGUAAUGAUUUUUAUACAUUAAUCUUGGAACUGUUUAACAGGACAACAGAAAUUGGCAAUCAAAGUUAAGAAACCAGAGGCUAACUAAAGAUUUUCUUCUUUUCUUUUAUUGAUGUCUUUUCUUUCUUUUUCUUUUUUUUUUGAGAUGGAGUUUCGCUCUUGUUGCCCAGGCUGGAGUGCAAUGGUGCAAUCUUGGCUCACUGCAACCUCCGCCUUCCGGUUCAAGCGAUUCUCCUGCCUCAGCCUCCCGAGUAGCUAGGAUUACAGGCAUGCGCCACCACGCCCGGCUAAUUUUGUAUUUUUUUAGUAGAGACAAGGUUUCUCCAUGUUGGUCAGGCUGGUCUCAAACUCCCUACCUCAGGUGAUCUGCCCACCUCGGCCUCCCAAAAUGCUGGGAUUACAGGUGUGAGCCAUCACGCCUGGCCUCUUUUAUUGAUUUCUAAGAUGACUACCAAAUAAAUGAACAAGAUAAAAAGUGAUAAGUUCAAACAUACUGUUUUUGUGUUAACAAAAUGUAGUAAUAGUCCCUUUUUAACCACUAUGUGCCAUGCCUUGUUGGAAGUGACUGACGUGUCUUGUCUCAUUUAAUCCUCACCAGAGCUCCUCUGGCCGAGCUCUUCUCAUUUUCCCAUUUCCCAUGUCCCCGAGGCACAGGAAGGUUAAAUGAUCUCCCCAGGUGCAGUCAGCUGGUCAGUGAUGGAACUGAGAUGGGGACCGGGCAGUGAGGUUACCAGCGCCUUGCCCACUCACCGUGCCAUCUGCCCGGAAAUGUCAUUACCCUUCCUCAGUGACUUGACAUUAUUAUAUGAGUUUCAGGAGGUUUUUUAUUUUUAGG